Molecule: long non-coding RNA, 2305 nt
Filed under: Homo sapiens (human)
Lineage: Eukaryota; Metazoa; Chordata; Mammalia; Primates; Hominidae
Description: non-protein coding lnc-SERPINB1-1:8
Source: RNAcentral
GAACGAGUGUUUGACACUCCUGACUUUGCAGGUGGACAGAAAAACCACAUCUGUCCAGGCCCCAGCACAGGAGUAUGAUCCUGGCCACUUCUAAAAAUACUCAGGAUCAGAAAGAAAAAUCUUUACUUUGACUAGAAAGUGUUAUUAUAUAGGAGACUUUCAAGAUCUGUAGCAAAACACCUUCUAUGUGCCAUGCAUUUUGUAUUCAUUUUUGAACUCUCUGGUCCUACAUGUAGGUGUCAUUUGCUCAGUUUUACGAAUGAAGGAUGGAGGUUCAAGGUGUGGCUGCAAUGAGCCAGGACUGGAAACCAGGCUUAAGUGCAAAGCCAUGCUCUCUCCACAGCCUCUGCCCCUUAGUGAGGGAUGUGGUAGAGGGCGGAUCACCUGAGGUCAGGAGUUUGAGACCAGCCUGGCCAACACGGUGAAACCCCCUCUCUACUAAAAAUACAAGAAUUAGCUGGCCUUGGUGGCGUAAAAUAUGUAUUUAAUGACUCAUUAGCAAAAUGGAGAUUUUCCUUUAAGUAGUUCUUAUGAUACAGAUAACAACUAUGUUUUGUUGUUGUUGGUUUAUUUAUUUAUUUAUUUAUUUAUUUACUUACUUUUUUGAGAUGGAGUCUCACUCUGUCGCCCAGGCUGGGGUGCAAUGGCACAAUCUUGGCUCACUGCAAGCUAUGAGUAAGAAGGCGUGUUUUCACCGGAAGCCACAAGCUAAAGCAAAAUAGGCAAGAAGCAUAAACGGACUUGCUCAAAAGCCUCUCUCUUUCCUCAGAGCCCAGCUAGCCCACGUGUGCCUUUGUGAGACAGAAAAAGACAUCCUCUCCUCUGGAUUUCUGCCUGCUCACUGUCGGCCCUCAGCCAGGCCCCCUGGGCCUUGCCCUGCCCACACAGCCACACAGCAGCCAUGUUCCCCACCCAUGCAGCAAUUUCAAGUGUGGAUGACAAACACCUGGAGAGAAGCAGCAGCUGGUGUCAGAAGGAAUGACAGGGGAGGGGGACAAAGGAGGCAAGCCCAGGAUAGGAUUUGAACCCGAGCAGACAGACUCCUGGACCCACGCACCUCACCAAGUGUGGUUGGCUAGCGAGCCGAAAGAACCCUGGAGGCAGGGUGCUGAAGGAGGGGAGAGUGGUGUGAGGCUCUCUGUUGAGACUCCAUCUCAAAAAUAAAAUAAAAUAUAAUAAAUAAAUCCAGCUACUAGGUGUCUGGUGUGUCCUACCCUCUGUGGAUGGCACGGCUGAAGCGAUUCUCCUGCCUCAGGCUCCUGAGUAGCUGAGAUUACAGGUGUGCGCCACCACACCCAGCCAAUUUUUAUAUACUUAAUAGAAACGACGUUUCACCAUGUUGCCCAGGCUGGUCUCAAACUCCUGAUCUCAAGUGACCUGCCCGCCUCAGCCUCCCAAAGUGCUGGGAUUACAGGUGUGAGAAUCAAAAUUGGCCAGGCACAGUGGCUCAUGCCUGUAAUCCUAGCAUUUUGGGAGGCUGAGGCAGGCGGAUUGCCUGAGCUCAGGAGUUCGAGACCAGCCUGGGCAAGACAGUAAAAAAAACGACUGUUUAGAAAUAUGGAGCUGCAAGAAGAAACCAGGACAAGUGGGAAAAAAUGGGCAUGGGACUACUGGAGUCUUCCACAAGCCAUUUAAAGAAUUCCUUUAUGUAUUCCUUUAAAGAGAUCAGACAAGCAGCAUACUCAGUGGGUCCAAUACACCAAUGGUGAAGGAGGGACAUUUAUUCAAAUCUACAAAGGGACAGAGCACGAGAGAGAAAAGAAGUGAUUUGCAAGAAAUGCCACACACAGAGACAAAGGAGAGUUUCAGUCAUGACACACACUGUCCUCCUGGCCUAUGUGCAGGCGACCACAGACCACCACUGCUUGUACACUUGGUGACCAAAACAAUCCCAUGUAGCAAAACAGCCUGACUUAGCUCUAGUCGUGAAGGCUAUGGAGACAUUCACCAGGAUGGAAACACUAAAAACAAAACAUCCCCUAAGACCAAAGAAGAGGAGAGCUUUCCUGAUCUUUUUCUUCAUAUAGUGUCUAGAGUCUUCCAUUUCUACCUUGGGAGCUGUCCAAAGAAAACCCAUCACACUCACCUAUGUCCUCGCUGGCAAACCUGACAAGCCUCCGUGCCACGUAGAGUGGGUCCUCUCCUCCCUCGAGCAUGCGAGCCAGCCAGUAGAGGGAGGCGUUCUGGUCUGAGCCCCGCAUGGACUUGUGCAGGGCGGAGAUGCAGUUGUAAUGCUCCUCACCUGACAUCACAAAGAGCACCACUCACACAGAGCUCACAGGAGGGGCGCCCAAGCCAUCUUCAC